GUCUGCGGCCAUGCCACCCUGAACAAGCCCAAUCCCAUCUGAUCUCAGAAGCUAAGCAGGGUCAGGCCUGGUUAGAACUUGGAUGGGAGACCAGGAAGACCAGGUGCUGUAGGCG
RNAcentral lists this ribosomal RNA (115 nucleotides) under Pteropus alecto (black flying fox). The record is from RNAcentral. Lineage: Eukaryota; Metazoa; Chordata; Mammalia; Chiroptera; Pteropodidae.